CCUCUUCCACCUGCUGCGGGCAGAUGAAAUGGAUAUGGGCAUCGAUGCCGCCGGCGGUCAGAAUGGCGCCCUCACCGGCAAUGAUCUCGGUACCCGGCCCGAUCACGAUGUCCACGCCAUCCUGGGUAUCCGGGUUGCCGGCUUUGCCGAUGGUAUGGAUACGACCAUCCUUGACACCGACAUCCGCUUUAACGAUGCCCCAGUGGUCCAGGAUCAGCGCAUUGGUGAUCACCAGAUCCAUGGCGACUUCGUUGGUCUCCUGGCUUUGGCCCAUGCCAUCACG
This 283-nucleotide small RNA is filed under the name Marinobacterium stanieri. Its description in RNAcentral is "5' ureB small RNA". It matches the Rfam family "5' ureB small RNA". Lineage: Bacteria; Pseudomonadati; Pseudomonadota; Gammaproteobacteria; Oceanospirillales; Oceanospirillaceae. The record is from Rfam by way of RNAcentral.